RNAcentral lists this long non-coding RNA (3129 nucleotides) under Salmo trutta (river trout). RNAcentral describes it as "lncRNA (ENSSTUG00000007096.1)". The record is from RNAcentral. Lineage: Eukaryota; Metazoa; Chordata; Actinopteri; Salmoniformes; Salmonidae.
AAAAAAUCCAAGGGGUCUGAAUACUUUUGCAAGGCACACACUGUAUGUGUCUCAAAUGGCCAAAGUGUGCCUGUCACAAUCAUGUCUCGGGGGGCACGUACCCUAGAUAUGAUCUGUACUAUUACCAGACAUACUUCUAAAGCAAAUGUUGGAAGAAUCUCUACGAUGGAUUUUCACACAUACUCAAGUGAACCCCACUGUCCUCCCCUCCCCAGGUGCCCCCCCUCUGUGGACCCCCCUAGCGUGACCCCCUGUGGCUGGUUCAGAAGGAAUCCCCUCCACCCUGCACCGAGGACCAGUUACGACCUGCGGGAGCGCAUCUGCAUCGGCAGUAUGACGACCAUGGAAACAGCUGUGUACCAGAAGGUGCCCACUGACGACGCUGAGGCUGAGAUGCUGGCUAGCGCUGAUCUGGACGACAUGAAAAGUCACCGAUUCGAGGACAACCCUGGAGUGAGGCGUCACCUGGUGAAGAAGUCAUCUCGAUGCCAGCUCCUCCAGACCACCAACAGCUCUUCGCAACUGUCCAGCGUGAAGAAGAAGAGGACGGCUGACAAGAAGACCCAUGAGGUGUUUGUGGAACUCAAUGAGCUGAUAGUGGAUAAGAACCAGGAAAUGCGCUGGAAGGAGACGGCCCGUUGGAUCAAGUUUGAGGAGGACGUGGAGGAGGAGACAGACCGCUGGGGAAAACCCCACGUGGCUUCGCUUUCCUUCCGUAGCCUGCUGGAGCUCCGCAGGACCAUCACACAUGGUGCCGUCCUUUUGGACCUGGAGCAGACCACCUUGCCUGGUAUUGCUCACCUGGUGGUGGAGACCAUGAUCAUCUCAGACCAGAUCAGAGCGGAGGACCGUGCCAACGUGCUCCGCGCCCUGCUGCUCAAACACCACCACCCCAACGACGAAAAGGAGGGCCUCUUCCAUCGCAACCACUCUAGUAACAGCCUUCAAGGCAGCUUCUACCACAACCACGUUCCCAACACUGCGCUGCCCCUUGUGGCCGAUGACCAUGCAGUAGUCCACCACCACCACCUUGACAACAAAGCACCAGACCAUGACAAAGAGGUAUCCUCAACUGUGUGUCAUUCCUCAGGGUGUGUGGAGUUCUUGGAGCAGCCGGCCAUGGCCUUCAUCAGGCUGAGUGAGGCAGUGCUGCUGGAGUCGGUCCUGGAGGUGCCGGUGCCGGUCCGUUUCCUCUUUGCCCUGCUCGGCCCCGCUCAGUCCAACAUGGACUAUCACGAGAUCGGACGCUCCUUCUCCACCCUGAUGUCUGACAAGAACUUCCACGAGGUGGCUUACUUCGCGGACGACCGGCAGGACCUGCUGAACGGCAUCAAUGAGUUCCUGGACUGCAGCAUCGUUAUCCCCCCGUCGGACGUGGAGGGCAAGGACCUGCUAAAGACGGUAGCCUCCUUCCAGAAGCAGAUGCUGCGCAAGAGGAAGGAGAGAGAGAACAUUAAGAAGGGCCUGACCCAUGAGGACCAGGAGGUGGACCCCAUGAAGCGGUCGGGCAUCCCCUUCGGAGGCCUCAUCCAUGACAUCAGGCGACGCUACCCACGCUACGCCAGUGACAUCAAGGACGCCUUGGACUCACAGUGCAUUGCAGCCGUCAUCUUCAUCUACUUCGCAGCCCUCUCGCCCACCAUCACCUUCGGAGGACUGCUGGGAGAGAAAACAGAGGGCAUGAUGGGAGUGUCUGAGCUUAUCAUCUCCACGGCGACCCUGGGGGUGCUGUUCUCGCUGUUGGCCGGACAGCCCCUGCUCAUCAUCGGAUUCUCAGGACCGCUGCUGGUGUUUGAGGAGGCCUUCUACAAGUUCUGCCAGGCCCAGGGCUUUGAGUACCUGACUGGCCGGGUGUGGAUCGGCUUCUGGCUCGUCUUCAUAGUGCUGUUGAUAGUAGCGGCUGAGGGCAGCUUCUUGGUCAAAUACAUCUCACCCUUCACCCAGGAGAUCUUCGCCUUCCUCAUCUCGCUCAUCUUCAUCUAUGAGACCUUCUCGAAGCUCAUCAAGGUAUUCCAGGAGCAUCCUUUGAUGAGAAGCUACCCGCCUGCUCUCAGCCUGCCCGGUAUGGACUUCAUCAACCCCACAGACCCCGGGGGCCCGGUCCUAAACCAACCCAACACAGCCUUGCUGUCUCUCGUCCUUAUGCUUGGCACCUUCUUUGUGGCCUUCUUCCUCAGGAAAUUGCGCAAUAGUCGCUUCCUGGGCGGGAAGGCCAGAAGAAUCAUCGGAGACUUUGGCAUCCCCAUCUCCAUCCUCUUCUCUGUACUGUUGAGUUACUCCAUCCCCGACACUUACACCCAGAAGCUAAAUGUACCAUCUGGUUUCUCGGUCACGUCUCCUGACAAGCGGGGCUGGUUGAUCAGUCCAUUCGGUGACAAGAAGCCCUUUCCCUUGUGGAUGAUGGGGGCUUCGGUGGUGCCCGCCCUCCUUGUCUUCAUCCUCAUCUUCAUGGAGACACAGAUCACCUCACUAAUCGUCAGCAAGAAGGAGCGUCGCCUGGUCAAGGGAUCGGGCUUCCACCUGGACCUGCUGCUCAUUGUCACACUGGGCGCCAUGUGCCCUCUGUUAGGCCUGCCCUGGCUCACAGCCGCCACUGUGCGCUCUGUCACGCAUGUCAACGCCCUUACUGUCAUGAGCAAGGCCACGGCACCUGGCGAGAAGCCUAUGAUCCAGGAGGUGAAGGAGCAGCGGGUGACUGGCCUGGUAGUUGCCGUGCUCGUGGGUAUGUCUAUCGUGAUGACGGACGUGCUCCGUAACAUCCCAUUGGCCGUGCUGUUCGGGAUCUUCCUCUACAUGGGCGUCACGUCGAUCACCGGCAUCCAGCUCUACGAGCGCAUCACACUCAUGUUCACGCCCGCCAAGCACCACCCCGACCACAUAUACGUGACCAAGGUGAAGACAUGGCGUAUGAAUAUGUUCACCAUCAUCCAGCUGGCCUGCAUCGUGCUACUGUGGGUGGUCAAGUCGACCGUGGCCUCACUCGCCUUCCCCUUCAUCCUCAUCCUGACCGUGCCGCUCCGCCGCCUCAUCCUCUCCCGGAUCUUUGAGGAGCGUGAGCUUCAGGCGGACUCCCCCAACUUUGACGAGGAUGGUCGGGACGAGUAUAAUGAGAUUCACAUGCUUGUGUAG